UACUUCGGUAGGAAUUUAAUAGCGCGAGCGGCGGAUGGGUGAGUAACACGUGGGCAAUCUACCCUUUAGCUUGGGAUACCACUUGGAAACAGGUGCUAAUACCAAAUAAGAAGUAAGAGCGCAUGCUCAAGCUAUGAAAGGCGGCUUUCGAGCUGUCACUAAAGGAUGAGCCCGCGGUGCAUUAGCUAGUUGGUAAGGUAACGGCUUACCAAGGCAAUGAUGCAUAGCCGAGUUGAGAGACUGAUCGGCCACAUUGGGACUGAGACACGGCCCAAACUCCUACGGGAGGCAGCAGUAGGGAAUCUUCCACAAUGGACGCAAGUCUGAUGGAGCAACGCCGCGUGAGUGAAGAAGGUUUUCGGAUCGUAAAGCUCUGUUGUUGGUGAAGAAGGACAUGGAUAGUAACUGAUCUAUGUUUGACGGUAAUCAACCAGAAAGUCACGGCUAACUACGUGCCAGCAGCCGCGGUAAUACGUAGGUGGCAAGCGUUGUCCGGAUUUAUUGGGCGUAAAGCGAACGCAGGCGGGAGAACAAGUCAGCUGUGAAAGCCCUCGGCUUAACCGAGGAACGGCAACUGAAACUGUUUUUCUUGAGUGCAGAAGAGGAGAGUGGAACUCCAUGUGUAGCGGUGAAAUGCGUAGAUAUAUGGAAGAACACCAGUGGCGAAGGCGGCUCUCUGGUCUGUAACUGACGCUGAGGUUCGAAAGCAUGGGUAGCGAACAGGAUUAGAUACCCUGGUAGUCCAUGCCGUAAACGAUGAGUGCUAAGUGUUGGGAGGUUUCCGCCUCUCAGUGCUGCAGCUAACGCAUUAAGCACU
This 817-nucleotide ribosomal RNA is filed under the name uncultured Lactobacillus sp. Its description in RNAcentral is "bacterial SSU rRNA". It matches the Rfam family "Bacterial small subunit ribosomal RNA", at positions 76 to 868 of the family's 1533-position model. Lineage: Bacteria; Bacillati; Bacillota; Bacilli; Lactobacillales; Lactobacillaceae. The record is from RNAcentral.